GGUAUGGCUCAGUUGGUUAGAGCGCUAGGUUGUGGCCCUGGAGACCGUGGGUUCGAGUCCCACUAC
RNAcentral lists this transfer RNA (66 nucleotides) under human gut metagenome. It matches the Rfam family "tRNA", at positions 5 to 66 of the family's 71-position model. From Rfam's summary of the family: Transfer RNA (tRNA) molecules are approximately 80 nucleotides in length. Their secondary structure includes four short double-helical elements and three loops (D, anti-codon, and T loops). Further hydrogen bonds mediate the characteristic L-shaped molecular structure. tRNAs have two regions of fundamental functional importance: the anti-codon, which is responsible for specific mRNA codon recognition, and the 3' end, to which the tRNAs corresponding amino acid is attached (by aminoacyl-tRNA synthetases). tRNAs cope with the degeneracy of the genetic code in two manners: having more than one tRNA (with a specific anti-codon) for a particular amino acid; and 'wobble' base-pairing, i.e. permitting non-standard base-pairing at the 3rd anti-codon position. The record is from RNAcentral. RNAcentral also lists the same sequence under 1 other name.